RNAcentral lists this ribosomal RNA (784 nucleotides) under Methanosarcinales archaeon. RNAcentral's name for it is "bacterial SSU rRNA". It matches the Rfam family "Archaeal small subunit ribosomal RNA", at positions 1 to 719 of the family's 1478-position model. The record is from RNAcentral. Lineage: Archaea; Methanobacteriati; Methanobacteriota; Methanomicrobia; Methanosarcinales.
UAAUUCUGGUUGAUCCUGCCAGAGGUUACUGCUAUCGGGGUCCGACUAAGCCAUGCGAGUCAAAUGUUCUUCGUGAACAUGGCGGACUGCUCAGUAACACGUGGACAACCUACCCUUGGGACUGGGAUAACUCCGAGAAAUUGGGGAUAAUACCAGAUAGUCCAUAGAGGCUGGAAUGCGCUGUGGAUUAAAGGCUAUAUCAAUCCAAGAAUUCUUUAAAGAAGGCCUUUGGUCGUCUAUAGCGAAUUUAAGGAAAGAUAUAGUCCGCCCAAGGAUGGGUCUGCGGCCUAUCAGGUAGUAGUGGGUGUAACGUACCUACUAGCCAGCGACGGGUACGGGUUGUGAGAGCAAGAGCCCGGAGAUGGAUUCUGAGACACGAAUCCAAGCCCUACGGGGUGCAGCAGGCGCGAAAACUUUACAAUGCGGGAAACCGCGAUAAGGGGACCUCGAGUGCCAGUACAUAGUACUGGCUGUUCAUAAGCCUAAAAAGCUUAUGAUAGCAAGAGCCGGGCAAGACCGGUGCCAGCCGCCGCGGUAACACCGGCGGCUCGAGUGGUAACCGUUAUUAUUGGGUCUAAAGGGUCCGUAGCCGGCCUAACCAGUCUUUUGGGAAAUCUGGCGGCUUAAUCGUCAGGCUACUAAAAGAUACUAUUAGGCUUGGGACCGGGAGAGGUAGGAGGUAUCUCAGGGGUAGGAGUGAAAUCUUGUAAUCCUUGAGGGACCACCAGUGGCGAAGGCGUCCUACCAGAACGUGUCCGACGGUGAGGGACGAAAGCUAGGGGCG